This 506-nucleotide long non-coding RNA is filed under the name Calidris pugnax (ruff). RNAcentral's name for it is "lncRNA (ENSCPUG00000016972.1)". The record is from RNAcentral. Lineage: Eukaryota; Metazoa; Chordata; Aves; Charadriiformes; Scolopacidae.
UGGUAGGAAGGGGGCAGGAUGAGAUGGGACAGGGUUGGAUGUUUUAGAGCCAUUUGUAGGAUGGGUUUAAACAGCUUUUUUUUUUUUUUUAGGUCUAUUUGUGGGGGUUUUUUUAAGCAAGUCUGCAUGGAAAUGUGUCACCAAUAGCCAGCUGUUUCCAAACAGUUCAGCAUUGCUGGGGUAUUUUUACUGGAUGCAGGCGGAGGGACUGAUCUUGGAAGGAAACUUCAUGUGAAGUCCCCAGCCCGUUUGCAGAUUCAUGUGCUGGUCAAUUUCUGGAUGAGAUUUCAGCUUUCUCAGGGGAGCUGCAGGAAGUGGGAAGAUCCCUGAAAUCUCUCCUAAGCUGUCUCAGAACAGGGACUGGACCAGCCCAAAGGCCCCCGGAGUUGUGGCUCACCAGCAUAGUUUGGGAAUGGAGCAUCCCCCAUCUGCCACAGCAGUGCUGUGGGGUGGAGCAGCCUCAUCAGGAAAGCUGUGACCUGAAUGCACCACAGUUUCCCUUCUAA